This 416-nucleotide ribosomal RNA is filed under the name uncultured bacterium. RNAcentral's name for it is "bacterial SSU rRNA". It matches the Rfam family "Bacterial small subunit ribosomal RNA", at positions 108 to 518 of the family's 1533-position model. The record is from RNAcentral.
GAGUAACGCGUAUGCAACCUACCUAUCAGAGGGGAAUAACCCGGCGAAAGUCGGACUAAUACCGCAGUAAAACAGGGGCACCGCAUGGUGAUAUUUGUUAAAGAAAUUCGCUGAUAGAUGGGCAUGCGUUCCAUUAGGGUAGUUGGUGAGGUAACGGCUCACCAAGCCGACGAUGGAUAGGGGAACUGAGAGGUUGGUCCCCCCACACUGGUACUGAGACACGGACCAGACUCCUACGGGAGGCAGCAGUGAGGAAUAUUGGUCAAUGGGCGGGAGCCUGAACCAGCCAAGUCGCCGUGAAGGAAGAAGGAUCUAUGGUUCGUAAACUUCUUUUGCAGGGGAAUAAAGUGCAGGACGUGUCCUGUUUUGUAUGUACCCUGAGAAUAAGGAUCGGCUAACUCCGUGCCAGCCGCGGC